This 772-nucleotide long non-coding RNA is filed under the name Lactuca sativa (garden lettuce). RNAcentral describes it as "long non-coding RNA (LSAT_LNC007417)". The record is from RNAcentral. Lineage: Eukaryota; Viridiplantae; Streptophyta; Magnoliopsida; Asterales; Asteraceae.
GACAUUACUUUUAUCUGUGGUAAAUUACAUGAUGAAGUCAGCAACACAUGUAUUUCAUUGUACAUAUAUUAACAUCAAUUUUUUAAACCAUUCAUUUGUUAGAAGAACUCCCAAAAGAUAAUGAAAAUUUGAUGAUUUACAUUGUCUGUUAUCUAGCAAGCCAGGUACCAUUUUUUGUUUUCUAUAUUUUUUUAGUUAUAUCUUCUACUAUGAAAUCAUAUUUGUAGGUAUUUUCACAUUCAUCCAUUAGUAUCACGUCUAUGUGCAUCAAUCUAUUGUACAACCCAGGUUCUUUAGUUCUUCAUCCUUUCAAGGUAUCAAUAUUCUAAUAUUCUAUAACAUAUCCUUUUGUAGUAUUUUUUUUGAUAUUGAUUCAUUAAGUAAUAAAAUAAUUAUUAUUUUCUUUUCCGUUUCAAAGCAGAUAAAUUGCUUGCUAAUCUUUUGGAGCCACUAAUAUGUGAAGUCUUCAUCGAAUAUUCACAAAAUUCAGGUUCUAAUCUUCUAAAAAUCUGUAAUUAUUUAUCCAUUAGACAAAGCUAUGAACUAGAGCUGAUAAGUUCAGCUCAUGUGCAGCCUGGAAAGAAUAAAUUAGAGUCCACUGAGGAUGUUAUGUUGGAGCAAAGAAUAAAUUAGAGUACACUGAAAAAGAUCUAAUAGAAAAAGAAGAGGAACUUCAAGAUUUGGAAGCGCUUAAUGCCUUAAUCAAGCAUUGAUAAUCAAAGAAAGAUCAAGCAAUGAUUAAUUACAGGGUGCUCGCAAAGAGUUGAUUUCU